RNAcentral lists this ribosomal RNA (320 nucleotides) under uncultured bacterium. RNAcentral describes it as "bacterial SSU rRNA". It matches the Rfam family "Bacterial small subunit ribosomal RNA", at positions 29 to 289 of the family's 1533-position model. The record is from RNAcentral.
ACGAACGCUGGCGGCGUGCCUAAUACAUGCAAGUCGAACGGUAUUAGGGUUAGGGAAUAGAGGCAAGAAGCGGAGAUAAGAGAUUAUCGAGUUUCUGGUUUCUAAUCUUUGACUCUGAUAUAGUGGCGGACGGGUGAGUAACACGUGAGCAACCUACCUUGUACAGGAGGACAACAGUUGGAAAACGGCUGCUAAUACUCCCAUAAAACCGAGCCGGCACAUGCUGGGACGGUCAAAGGUGAAAGCCGGUACAAGAAGGGCUCGCGUCCCAUUAGCUAGUUGGCGGGAUAACAGCCCACCAAGGCGACGAUGGGUAGCCG